GGGCCUGUAGCUCAGAGGUUAGAGCCGGCGGCUCAUAAUCGCUUGGUCGUGGGUUCGAUUCCCACCUGGCCCA
Molecule: transfer RNA, 73 nt
Filed under: Armatimonadota bacterium
Lineage: Bacteria; Bacillati; Armatimonadota
Description: Armatimonadetes bacterium (activated sludge metagenome) tRNA-Ile
Rfam family: tRNA
About the family: Transfer RNA (tRNA) molecules are approximately 80 nucleotides in length. Their secondary structure includes four short double-helical elements and three loops (D, anti-codon, and T loops).
Source: RNAcentral